UACAGAGGGGGCAAGCGUUGUUCGGAAUCACUGGGCGUAAAGGGCGCGUAGGUGGCGCGACAAGUCAGUGGUGAAAGUUCGACGCUUAACGUCGAAUCGGCCACUGAUACUGUUGGGCUUGAGCACUGUAGAGGCUAAUGGAAUUCCGGGUGUAGCGGUGGAAUGCGUAGAGAUCCGGAAGAACACCGGUGGCGAAGGCGGCUCGCUGGGCCAGUUCUGACACUCAUCCGCGAAAGCGUGGGGAGCAAACAGG
RNAcentral lists this ribosomal RNA (253 nucleotides) under uncultured bacterium. RNAcentral's name for it is "partial 16S ribosomal RNA". It matches the Rfam family "Bacterial small subunit ribosomal RNA", at positions 524 to 776 of the family's 1533-position model. The record is from RNAcentral.